CGAGCCUCACGAACGUUAUUCGGAAUUACUGGGCUUAAAGGGUGCGUAGGCGGCGCGGAAAGUUGGGUGUGAAAUCCCUCGGCUCAACCGAGGAACUGCGCCCAAAACUACCGUGCUCGAGGAAGAUAGAGGUGAGCGGAACUUACGGUGGAGCGGUGAAAUGCGUUGAUAUCGUAAGGAACACCCGUGGCGAAAGCGGCUCACUGGGUCUUCUCUGACGCUGAUGCACGAAAGCUAGGGGAGCAAACGGGAUUAGAUACCCCGGUAGUCCUAGCCGUAAACUCUGAGUACUGAAUUGGAGGGCCCUCCAUAGCCCUCCAGUUGAAGCGAAAGUGUUAAGUACUCCGCCUGGGGAGUAUGGUCGCAAGGCUG
This 372-nucleotide ribosomal RNA is filed under the name uncultured organism. RNAcentral describes it as "bacterial SSU rRNA". It matches the Rfam family "Bacterial small subunit ribosomal RNA", at positions 526 to 896 of the family's 1533-position model. The record is from RNAcentral.